RNAcentral lists this ribosomal RNA (138 nucleotides) under uncultured eukaryote. Its description in RNAcentral is "partial 18S ribosomal RNA". It matches the Rfam family "Eukaryotic small subunit ribosomal RNA", at positions 1299 to 1458 of the family's 1831-position model. The record is from RNAcentral.
UGGUGGAGUGAUUUGUCUGGUUAAUUCCGAUAACGAACGAGACCUUAACCUGCUAAAUAGCCAGACCGUCUUCGGAUGGUCGCAGGCUUCUUAGAGGGACUGUCAGGAUCUACCUGACGGAAGUUUGAGGCAAUAACA